AAUCUGUGGUGUUGGCAUUUUUGAAUCAACAUUUUGAAAUGUUCCUACGCCUCAUAAAAACUUUCUCCCUACAUCUGUCUAAAGAUAGCAAUAUCUCUUCCUAGUUG
Gossypium raimondii (Peruvian cotton) is the source of this 107-nucleotide non-coding RNA. Lineage: Eukaryota; Viridiplantae; Streptophyta; Magnoliopsida; Malvales; Malvaceae. The record is from Rfam.